GGAGAUGAAUACCACGUAGUGAAGUCCUCGGUUGCGGUGGUGACCUGCCACCGUCGGGUUGUUGGUUGAGGUAUAGGGGAGCUGGGGAAGUAGAGCCGAAGAUGUAGGUACGGGUCCAUGCUGCCGCCCCGCCGUUGUCACCGCCCCUCCGCGUUCUAGACUCGACGCUACGCCUCGCCGAGCUGCAUGUUCUCGCGACGACGCGGGUCCAGGUCCUCGUUCUAACGUGCCCACACGGCCCUCCGUCGGCGUCUGGUGCCGCUCCUCGCACCGGCACGUCUCCUCCACUACCGGUGUGGUUUGUCGCCGGUGAGUUCUUUAGUUGUCGAAGGGUAUUACCUCGUGUUCCGGGAUAACACCAAUCGGGACAAUAUCUAGUUAUCGAAGAGUACUACUACUACUACUUCGAUACAAGGUUCCUACUCAAACUAAGUUAGCAUUGACUUCUGAUCUUCUACUACGGAUCUUGUGACUCCACUUCUUACCUUCUACUAUGUACCAAGAUGGGCACGCACGAACUACAACACGAUACGGUAAAACACCCUUUGAUUCUGACUCUUACUACAACACAACAACGAUACAGUAAAGCGCUACUGACUUUUAACACAUGAAUACAAAUAAGCUACAAUACAGUAAAACACUCUUACACUCUCUAAUAAACCACUAGACGUGAAAGGUCACAGUAGAACACUCUUAGGUUC
This 701-nucleotide ribosomal RNA is filed under the name Triticum aestivum (bread wheat). RNAcentral describes it as "partial small subunit ribosomal RNA". The record is from RNAcentral. Lineage: Eukaryota; Viridiplantae; Streptophyta; Magnoliopsida; Poales; Poaceae.